GAGUUUGAUCAUGGCUCAGAGCGAACGCUGGCGGCAGGCCUAACACAUGCAAGUCGAACGGAUCCGUUCGGGAUCAGUGGCGGACGGGUGAGUAACACGUGGGAACGUGCCUUUUGGUUCGGAACAACUCAGGGAAACUUGAGCUAAAUACCGGAUGUGCCCUUCGGGGAAAGAUUUAUCGCCAUUAGAGCGGCCCGCGUCUGAUUAGCUAGUUGGUGAGGUAAAGGCUCACCAAGGCGACGAUCAGUAGCUGGUCUGAGAGGAUGAUCAGCCACACUGGGACUGAGACACGGCCCAGACUCCUACGGGAGGCAGCAGUGGGGAAUCUUGCGCAAGUGGGGGAAACCCUGACGCAGCCAUGCCGCGUGAAUGAUGAAGGUCUUAGGGAUUGUAAAAAUUCUUUUCACCGGGGAAGAUAAUGACGGUACCCGGAGAAGAAGCUCCGGCUAACUUCGUGCCAGCCGCCGCCGUAAG
RNAcentral lists this ribosomal RNA (474 nucleotides) under uncultured Alphaproteobacteria bacterium. RNAcentral describes it as "bacterial SSU rRNA". It matches the Rfam family "Bacterial small subunit ribosomal RNA", at positions 9 to 524 of the family's 1533-position model. The record is from RNAcentral. RNAcentral also lists the same sequence under 1 other name. Lineage: Bacteria; Pseudomonadati; Pseudomonadota; Alphaproteobacteria.